Molecule: unclassified non-coding RNA, 333 nt
Filed under: soil metagenome
Description: partial contains 5.8S ribosomal RNA, internal transcribed spacer 2, and large subunit ribosomal RNA
Rfam family: 5.8S ribosomal RNA (bases 1-120)
Source: RNAcentral
GAUGAAGAACGUAGUGAAAUGCGAUAAGUAAUGUGAAUUGCAGAAUUCAGUGAAUCAUCGAAUCUUUGAACGCACAUUGCGCCCGCCAGUAUUCUGGCGGGCAUGCCUGUUCGAGCGUCAUUUCAACCAUCAAGCCCCCGGCUUGUGUUGGGGACCUGCGGCUGCCGCAGGCCCUGAAAUGCAGUGGCGGGCUCGCUGUCACUCCGAGCGUAGUAGUUACAUCUCGCUCUGGGCGUGCUGCGGGUUCCGGCCGUUAAAAGCCUUAUUUACCCAAGGUUGACCUCGGAUCAGGUAGGAAGACCCGCUGAACUUAAGCAUAUCAAUAAGCGGAGA